UAAGGAAUAUUGGUCAAUGGACGCAAGUCUGAACCAGCCAUGCCGCGUGAAGGAUGAAGGUCCUCUGGAUUGUAAACUUCUUUUAUCUGGGACGAAAACGGGAUUUUUAUCUCAAUUGACGGUACCAGAGGAAUAAGCACCGGCUAACUCCGUGCCAGCAGCCGCGGUAAUACGGAGGGUGCGAGCGUUAUCCGGAUUUACUGGGUUUAAAGGGUGCGUAGGCGGACUAAUAAGUCAGUGGUGAAAGCCUGCAGCUUAACUGCAGAAUUGCCAUUGAUACUGUUAGUCUUGAGUACAGUUGAGGUAGGCGGAAUGUGUCAUGUAGCGGUGAAAUGCUUAGAUAUGACACAGAACACCGAUUGCGAAGGCAGCUUGCUAAGCUGUAACUGACGCUGAGGCACGAAAGCGUGGGGAGCAAACA
This 421-nucleotide ribosomal RNA is filed under the name uncultured bacterium. RNAcentral describes it as "bacterial SSU rRNA". It matches the Rfam family "Bacterial small subunit ribosomal RNA", at positions 355 to 774 of the family's 1533-position model. The record is from RNAcentral.